Molecule: ribosomal RNA, 450 nt
Filed under: uncultured bacterium
Lineage: Bacteria
Description: partial 16S ribosomal RNA
Rfam family: Bacterial small subunit ribosomal RNA
Source: RNAcentral
CUUACGGGAGGCUGCAGUAGGGAAUAUUGGGCAAUGGAGGCAACUCUGACCCAGCCAUGCCGCGUGCAGGAUGACGGCCCUCUGGGUUGUAAACUGCUUUUAUACGGGAAGAAAAAAUACUACGUGUAGUAUACUGACGGUACCGUAAGAAUAAGGAUCGGCUAACUCCGUGCCAGCAGCCGCGGUAAUACGGAGGAUCCAAGCGUUGUCCGGAUUUAUUGGGUUUUAAGGGUGCGUUUACGUCAUUGUAGAAAGCCUGCAGCUUAACUGUAGAAUUGCCAUUGAAACUGAAAAUCUUGAAUUUGGUUAAAGUAGGCGGAAUGUAUCAUGUAGCGGUGAAAUGCUUAGAUAUGAUACAGAACACCGAUAGCGAAGGCAGCUUGCUGAACCAAUAUUGACGCUGAGGCACGAAAGCGUGGGGAGCGAACAGGAUUAGAUACCCCGGUAGUC